This 399-nucleotide ribosomal RNA is filed under the name uncultured bacterium. RNAcentral describes it as "bacterial SSU rRNA". It matches the Rfam family "Bacterial small subunit ribosomal RNA", at positions 356 to 773 of the family's 1533-position model. The record is from RNAcentral.
GGGGAAUAUUGCACAAUGGAGGAAACUCUGAUGCAGCGACGCCGCGUGAGUGAUGAAGGCUUUCGGGUCGUAAAACUCUGUCCUAGGGGACGAUAAUGACGGUACCCUAGGAGGAAGCCCCGGCUAACUACGUGCCAGCAGCCGCGGUAAUACGUAGGGGGCGAGCGUUGUCCGGAAUUAUUGGGCGUAAAGGGUUCGCAGGCGGCCUUUUAAGUCAGAUGUGAAAGAUCACGGCUCAACCGUGGUAAGCAUUUGAAACUGGAAGGCUUGAGUUAAGGAGAGGAAAGUGGAAUUCCUAGUGUAGCGGUGAAAUGCGUAGAUAUUAGGAGGAAUACCAGUGGCGAAGGCGACUUUCUGGACUUAUACUGACGCUGGGGAACGAAAGCGUGGGGAGCAAAC